CACGAAGUUAGCCGGGGCUUCUUCUCCCACUACCGUCAUCAUCGUCGUGGGUGAAAGAGCUUUACAACCCUAAGGCCUUCCUCACUCACGCGGCAUUGCUGGAUCAGGCUUGCGCCCAUUGUCCAAUAUUCCCCA
RNAcentral lists this ribosomal RNA (135 nucleotides) under uncultured bacterium. RNAcentral's name for it is "partial 16S ribosomal RNA". The record is from RNAcentral.